AUUGAACGCUGGCGGCAUGCCUUACACAUGCAAGUCGAACGGCAUCGCGGGAAAGCUUGCUUUCCUGGCGGCGAGUGGCGAACGGGUGAGUAACACAUCGGAACGUACCGGCUAGUGGGGGAUAACCCGUCGAAAGACGGGCUAAUACCGCAUACGCUCUUCGGAGGAAAGCAGGGGACCUUUGGGCCUUGCGCUAGUCGAGCGGCCGAUGUCCGAUUAGCUAGUUGGUGGGGUAAAGGCUACCAAGGAGACGAUCGGUAGCGGGUCUGAGAGGACGAUCCGCCACACUGGGACUGAGACACGGCCCAGACUCCUACGGGAGGCAGCAGUGGGGAAUCUUGGACAAUGGGGGCAACCCUGAUCCAGCAAUGCCGCGUGGGUGAAGAAGGCCUUCGGGUUGUAAAGCCCUUUCGGCAGGGAAGAAAUCGGCGGGGCGAAUAACCCUGCUGGAUGACGGUACCUGCAGAAGAAGCACCGGCUAACUACGUG
This 489-nucleotide ribosomal RNA is filed under the name uncultured bacterium. Its description in RNAcentral is "partial 16S ribosomal RNA". It matches the Rfam family "Bacterial small subunit ribosomal RNA", at positions 29 to 507 of the family's 1533-position model. The record is from RNAcentral.